RNAcentral lists this ribosomal RNA (456 nucleotides) under uncultured bacterium. RNAcentral's name for it is "bacterial SSU rRNA". It matches the Rfam family "Bacterial small subunit ribosomal RNA", at positions 28 to 474 of the family's 1533-position model. The record is from RNAcentral.
GACGAACGCUGGCGGCGUGCCUAAUACAUGCAAGUCGAGCGGAACCAAUGGAGCUUGCUCCAUUGGUUUAGCGGCGGACGGGUGAGUAACACGUGGGCAACCUGCCCUGCAGAUCGGGAUAACUCCGGGAAACCGGUGCUAAUACCGAAUAGUUUGCGGCCUCUCCUGAGGCUGCACGGAAAGACGGUUUCGGCUGUCACUGCAGGAUGGGCCCGCGGCGCAUUAGCUAGUUGGUGGGGUAAUGGCCCACCAAGGCGACGAUGCGUAGCCGACCUGAGAGGGUGAUCGGCCACACUGGGACUGAGACACGGCCCAGACUCCUACGGGAGGCAGCAGUAGGGAAUCUUCCGCAAUGGACGCAAGUCUGACGGAGCAACGCCGCGUGAGUGACGAAGGUUUUCGGAUCGUAAAACUCUGUUGUGAGGGAAGAACACGUACCAGGUAACUACUGGUACC